AUUGAACGCUGGCGGCAUGCCUUACACAUGCAAGUCGAACGGAAGCACGGGUGUUUGCCCCUGGUGGAGCGUGGCGCAGGGGAGUGAAGUCUAUCGGACCAUGUCCUGUAGUGGGGGAAAGCCCGGAGACAGCCGCUAAUAUACCGCACACGAUCUAGGAAAGAAAGGGGGGGAUCUUGGGGCCUCGCGAUCUAGGGAUGGCCGAUGGCGGAUUAGAUAGUUGGUGGGGUAAAGGUAUACCAAGGCGACGAUCUGUAUCUGGUCUGAGAGGAAGAACAGCCACACUGGAACUGAGACACGGCCCAGACUCCUACGGGAGGCAGCAGUGGGGAAUUUUGGACAAUGGGCGAAAGCCUGAUCCAGCAAUGCCGCGUGUGUGAAGAAGGCCUUCGGGUUGUAAAGCACUUUUAGUCGGAAAGAAGUCCUGUGCCCUAAUACGUUCGUGGGUUGACGUUACCGGAAGAAUAAGCACCGGCUAACUACGUG
RNAcentral lists this ribosomal RNA (486 nucleotides) under uncultured bacterium. RNAcentral describes it as "partial 16S ribosomal RNA". It matches the Rfam family "Bacterial small subunit ribosomal RNA", at positions 30 to 507 of the family's 1533-position model. The record is from RNAcentral.